This 264-nucleotide ribosomal RNA is filed under the name uncultured bacterium. RNAcentral's name for it is "partial 16S ribosomal RNA". It matches the Rfam family "Bacterial small subunit ribosomal RNA", at positions 92 to 354 of the family's 1533-position model. The record is from RNAcentral.
CGACCGGCGCACGGGUGAGUAACGCGUAUCCAACCUGCCCUUUACUAUGGGACAGCCCGUCGAAAGGCGGAUUAAUACCGUAUGUUGUCAUGUUGAUGCAUAUUUUCAUGACCAAAGGCUUCGGCCGGUAAAGGAUGGGGAUGCGUCUGAUUAGCUUGCCGGCGGGGUAACGGCCCACCGGGGCGACGAUCAGUAGGGGUUCUGAGAGGAAGGUCCCCCACACUGGUACUGAGACACGGACCAGACUCCUACGGGAGGCAGCAG